RNAcentral lists this ribosomal RNA (60 nucleotides) under Candidatus Altarchaeales archaeon. RNAcentral's name for it is "partial 16S ribosomal RNA". Lineage: Archaea; Nanobdellati; Candidatus Altarchaeota; Candidatus Altarchaeia; Candidatus Altarchaeales. The record is from RNAcentral.
AACUCCAGUUGAUCCUGCUGGAGGCUACUGCUUUUGGGGUCCGCUUAAGCCAUGCAUGUC